RNAcentral lists this long non-coding RNA (1083 nucleotides) under Mus musculus (house mouse). RNAcentral's name for it is "long non-coding RNA chr1:7172541-7173624". Lineage: Eukaryota; Metazoa; Chordata; Mammalia; Rodentia; Muridae. The record is from RNAcentral.
AUUUAAAUCUGUCCUACUCACUGGUCAACAUAUUGGACUCUGGUGUUAAUAUAAUGUUAAAAUAGCUGCUUACAUGGUUAAAAGAAAAGAAAAGAAAAUGUGCUGAUUGUUUGAGAUGAAAGUAAAAGAAAACCUGCUAAAUCAUUGGGGAACUUGGGAGGAAAAUCAUUUUAAAUAAACAAAUCACAUCAUUACACAGCAUUAUCCAGUGGCCUGCCUCUUUUAUUUUUCUCUUAUUUUUGUGAUCAAUAAUCACUGUACAUAUAGAUAUUUAGCCACUUUUUUUAGCUCCAUCGACUUCAGUGGUUAGGUCAGUCCCCAUCGAGACACCGGACUUAAAGAACUGAGCAUUGAUAAGAACUCAGUAUGGCUGCAUAGGAGACAAGAACAAGCAGUGAUCUAGUGAUUCACACCUGUCUUGCCUUUACUGUAUUCACAGGAGCUUUGGAUUGAGAAGAAUUCAGUCAAGGAGCAGGAGGUAGGCUUAAGGCAGGCCUGGAUAAAGUAUGGUCCUGGAAGAUGUCCCAAAGAAAUUCAAAGAUGAUUAUUUCUUUAGUUUUUGCCUUGUCCUCACCAGUAAUUGCUCCCAUCUAGGGAGAGGGAGGGAUAUUGAUGUCUCUCUUUUAAACAUAUGUUUACUCUUCCAAGGUGACUUAUGGGACUAAGAAAGGAAGCAAAGCUUUUUACCAAAAGUAGACUUAAACUUUGAGUUUUUACGUUGCUGUUUAUAUCUCUAAUUCAGCACUCUUAUUGCUGUAGCUAAGCCUUUUCGAUUCUAUAUUAAGUAGAGUUGAAAGUGGAGAUCUUUCUUGAGUUCUUAGUAGUGGAAAUGCUGAGCUCUCCCAUAAAAAUGAUGUGCCUGAAUGGUUUGCCAUAUAUAGCCUUUAUUAUGUGAUGAUAUGAUCCUUUUAUUCUGAAUUUCUUCAGGACUUUUAACAUAAGGGGAUGUUAAAUUUUGUCCAAAGCCAUUUUUUUUUGCAUUUAUAAAGAUGAUCAUGUUAUUCUGUCUUUGAGCCCAUUUAUGUAAUUUCUAAUACACACACACACAUCCCUGUAUCUGGAAUAAAGCCAAUGUAGUUGUGG